GGAUUGUGGCUCAGUGGCAGAGUGCUUGCCUCGCGUGUGUGAGGCAAUGGGUUCGAUUCUCAGCACCA
This 68-nucleotide transfer RNA is filed under the name Marmota monax (woodchuck). RNAcentral describes it as "tRNA.Ala". Lineage: Eukaryota; Metazoa; Chordata; Mammalia; Rodentia; Sciuridae. The record is from RNAcentral.